This 71-nucleotide transfer RNA is filed under the name Hypentelium nigricans (northern hog sucker). Its description in RNAcentral is "tRNA-Ser". It matches the Rfam family "tRNA". From Rfam's summary of the family: Transfer RNA (tRNA) molecules are approximately 80 nucleotides in length. The record is from RNAcentral. Lineage: Eukaryota; Metazoa; Chordata; Actinopteri; Cypriniformes; Catostomidae. RNAcentral also lists the same sequence under 2 other names.
AAGGAAGUGGCAGAGUGGUUAUGCGAUUGGCUUGAAACCAAUAAAUGGGGGUUCAAUUCCUCCUUUCCUCG